Molecule: ribosomal RNA, 448 nt
Filed under: uncultured bacterium
Lineage: Bacteria
Description: partial 16S ribosomal RNA
Rfam family: Bacterial small subunit ribosomal RNA
Source: RNAcentral
UCCAGACUCCUACGGGAGGCAGCAGUCGGGAAUAUUGCGCAAUGGAGGAAACUCUGACGCAGUGACGCCGCGUAUAGGAAGAAGGUUUUCGGAUUGUAAACUAUUGUCGUUAGGGAAGAGAAAGGACAGUACCUAAGGAGGAAGCUCCGGCUAACUACGUGCCAGCAGCCGCGGUAAUACGUAGGGAGCAAGCGUUAUCCGGAAUUACUGGGCGUAAAGCGCUCGUAGGCGGUAUGUCAAGUCAAGGGUGAAAUCCCCGCGCUCAACGUGGGAACUGCCUUUGAAACUGGCAAACUGGAGUGUGUGAGAGGAUAGUGGAAUUCCAGGUGUAGGAGUGAAAUCCGUAGAUAUCUGGAGGAACAUCAGUGGCGAAGGCGACUAUCUGGCACAUAACUGACGCUGAGGAGCGAAAGCGUGGGUAGCAAACAGGAUUAGAUACCCGAGUAGG